CUGAGGUAAACAGCUGUCCAAAGACAUCAUCUCUGGGACCACAGUCACAAACAAGAUACAUGAAAGACAAAAUUGAUCAAAUAUUGCUGGUCAUGAAAACUACAGACUCUGCCUUCAGGAGCAGAACAGUAAAAAUGGACUAAGAACUUGAAAACUACUGCUACAUUUACCAGACCAUCACUCCUUUGAGCAUCCUCUGCUGACCAGAUGCUACGGGAUGGCAAAUAGAUCUAUUGAUGUUGCACCAGCAGACUGUGAUGGGAUGAAUUAUGUAACAGCCUCGAUGGGUUGUGAAGGCGACUGUGCAGGGAAGAAAAAGUAUUUACGCUGCUGCCGUGACAACUGAUAAUAUAACCUCUGUAUUUACAUAUGCUGAGCCCUGUAAAUCCUCCAUGUGCAUGCAUGGUGUGUGACUUGCAGCAGAUCAUUGAUGCCUGAUGUUUAAUAGGACGUAGCAGCUGCUCAAAAGCUUAACAAAAAAUAAAAAAAAUAAACAAUAACAUCCUAACAAUACUUUCCACACCCAUUAGUUAAAUAUGUGUAAAUCAGAGUCUUCUGAUGAAGAAACAGGCUGUUGAAACAUCAGUCUUAAUGACAUCUGUAGAAUAAAUCUGAAAAAAAUGUUAGAAAAGGUUCUAGCCUUUUCUGCCAUUUCAAAGAUGAGAGAUCGUACAUGUUUAUGGGUUGUUAGCCAGGAAAGAACCCUUACUACCAUUACAAAUGUUAAAAUUAACUUUGCAACACUCAGGGAUUUGAACUGGAGAUUUGCAUUGUGGUUAAUGCUAAGACGGUCCCAAGACUGAGGAUUUCAGCAGCAAACACUCCUGCUUUGUACGGCAUUCAUCAAAGAAUGAAUAUGAAUGGAAGAAGGAUUUUCCUAAAAUCCUCUGUUCGAGAUUUUAUGAUUACAAUGUAGUAAUUCAUUUUAAAGGGGGAGAAUGAUGUGUUUUCCAGGCACAGCGUGCCAUUUUACACCUCAAUAAAGUAACUUUGUUACCUUCAGUUCUGAAGACCCUCUGAAACACUUAAAAAGGAAAUGUGACUUUGAAUCAUUGCUGUGCCUGACGCCUUGAAAUUGGCCUUUGUCUCUUUAAAAACCUCCUACCCUUUCCUGAUACUCUUCUGUCAGGAUGUCAUCACCGCAAUGCCUUUUCAAGUCAUCAGUAGAUGCUGUUUUUAGCAGGGCUGUACUUUGUUGUGCAGAGGAUUAGUAUGUUACAAUAUCAUAUUUGGAGAACAAGCUGAAAAUCAGCAUGAUAAGCUCAGCAGACGCAGACUUCUACCAGGUUUUUGCUAAUUUUUGUUGCCGCUAUUCUGGUGGAGGAGCUAGUAACGCAUCUCUACAAACUAUUAACACAGCUACUUAUGAAAGCUUUCAUACAUUCAUAAGUAUGAAACAACUAAUGUAAGAACUGUGAAUUUAGAAAGACAUGUCUUACUUUGUAUGUUCAGUCUGAGUCCUAGCAGACAUGAUUGGAUCUUCUCCUAGUCAAGCUUAAGAGGGGAUUUACCUACUAAGGUUUACACUAAGUGACACUAACCGACUCAAAAAAUUCAGCCUCUUUCAAACUGGAUUGUUUUGCAAUUUUUCUGCCCGUAUUUGUCUCUUUCCGCCAUGUCGGCACGAUAUUUGAAAGGCCACACUGAUGCAGCCUUCUGCCACUUUUGUUUGGUCGGUGUGCAGCAAAGGUGAGCCACGCCAACAUAAUGAAUGGGAAUGGCAUUGUGGAGCAGUCUCUGUGUGAAAAGAGCUUGUGUUGCUGUGCAUGUGGAAUUGUCUAACUGCACUUUACCAGAUUUCUCUUUUGGUUAAUGUUUAUUUCACUACCCUGACAAUAAUUCUUUUUAUUCAGUCAGUUUGCCUCUAGCUUAGUUCUACGAAAAUUAUAAAACAUCUUCUCUUGUUCUUUUAUUUCUUUAACUAUUGGACUCAAGUUAGAUCUUUAAUUUACUUUAUGCACUGGUGCACGAGGAAAAUAAAAACCCUUAAAAUCCCAAUCUUAGACUCAGUUUUCCCCCACCGACUCCCUCUCUGUGUCUCUCCGUCUCGCCCACCACCCGAUUUGCUCUUCAAAGGGGAAGCAAAACGUCUGCCUAUUACAAGGAGCCUAGGGCCCUCUGCAGAGUUGUGUUAAGUAAUAACAAGCAGUGACGUCAAAGGUUUUCCAUCCGAGCUGGAAAGAGGGAGGGCAAUGAGACUGAAAAAAAAAAAAACAGAAAGGGAGGAGGUGAAGCAGACAUGGAAGAGAUGCAGCUUGUGAGAAAUCUUUAGUUUUUUUUGUGUUGAUUUGUGGGUUUUUUGUACACAUGUAACACACAUAAACAUAAAUAAUGAAUAAUAACUUGUUCACUUGGAUUAAAAAGAUGUUUGAGUUCAUAUGUACUGUCACCGCAUGUGUUUUUUUAUCUGAAGAACUUAUUGUUCUCAUUCUGAACGAGUAAUAUAAUGCUCCCACAUCUAGUUGCAUUUAUAUCACGAUACUGCAGUAAAUAUAAUAGCAUCUGCUUAUCAUUUGCUGACAAAAAGAGAUCAAGUUCAAUAUGUGGAUCUAGGUUAAGAUCUUGUACUAAGUGCCUCUUGUGCAACAAUGUUUGUUUAAAGAUGACCUUCAUUUAACAGAGACAUGGUGAGGAAAUAUUUGGGUAUUAUUCCUUUAUGAAAGAGCUUGAUUAGGAUCUAUUUCUGUGGGUUACUUAACCAGCCACACAUUUAUUAAAUACAUCAGCUUAUUUCAGCUAAGGAUUGCUUUCACAGUGCAUUGCGUAAAAAUGGGCACCACAUAAAUCUUUUCAAAUUUUGUCACGUCAUAACUACAAAGCUCAUUGGAUUUCUUUGGGACUUCGUGUGAUGGACCAAGACAAAGUUAAACAUGACUGUGAAAAGGAAGGACAAAUGUUUUUCAAUUCUUGUGAACAACUAUUUUCAAUUCUCGCCAUAGAUUCCCAGCUGAAUUUCAGUCUGAACUUUGA
Molecule: long non-coding RNA, 2970 nt
Organism: Gambusia affinis (western mosquitofish)
Lineage: Eukaryota; Metazoa; Chordata; Actinopteri; Cyprinodontiformes; Poeciliidae
Exons: 3
Source: RefSeq, a predicted model, not a curated record